This 253-nucleotide ribosomal RNA is filed under the name uncultured bacterium. Its description in RNAcentral is "partial 16S ribosomal RNA". It matches the Rfam family "Bacterial small subunit ribosomal RNA", at positions 524 to 776 of the family's 1533-position model. The record is from RNAcentral.
UACGUAGGGUGCAAGCGUUGUCCGGAAUUAUUGGGCGUAAAGAGCUCGUAGGCGGUUUGUCGCGUCUGCUGUGAAAACCCGCAGCUCAACUGUGGGCUUGCAGCUGAUACGGGCAGGCUAGAGUUCGGUAGGGGAGACUGGAAUUCCUGGUGUAGCAGUGAAAUGCGCAGAUAUCAGGAGGAACACCGGUGGCGAAGGCGGGUCUCUGGGCCGAUACUGACGCUGAGGAGCGAAAGCGUGGGGAGCGAACAGG